Molecule: long non-coding RNA, 1017 nt
Organism: Beta vulgaris subsp. vulgaris (sugar beet)
Lineage: Eukaryota; Viridiplantae; Streptophyta; Magnoliopsida; Caryophyllales; Amaranthaceae
Exons: 2
Source: RefSeq, a predicted model, not a curated record
AUUAAUUUUUUUGUUGUUAAUUCACUAAAGCAAAAAAAUACCCAAGUUCCACCAAAAUCUUACAAAGCCACGUUUAGAGUGAAAGAGUGGAGCAAAUUUUCUGAUUUUGGUUACAAAAUAAAAAGGGAAAAUGAGAAAAAGUUCCAUGGUCAAUACUCCAUUAAUGUUGCCUUCUUCCUCACGCUUCCAUGGCCAUUUGGCACACAUGCCAUCACACUCCCUUCUUCUUCCUCAGUCAAAAAUCCUGCCACCAAUCCAUCAGCUUAGCUUCUUCAAACCAAAAAUUCAGAAUUUUUACUUCAAUUAUCUCCCUCCCAACCACUGAUUUUGUAUUCUUGAUUUCAUUAUAAAUAGCCAUGAAAAUCUCUCACCAAGAACACCAUUAAAAACAAUCUUCAUCCUCUCUUCUUUUACUAAUCAGAAUUUCAGUCAACAACUCGCCGGAAAACAUGACCCAAAGAAACCCAAAAAGAAAACCUCAAUUCUCUCUCUCCUCUAUUUCGGGAUUUCAAACACCACCACCACCACCGGCUGCCGCCGACUCGCGCGACACCUGCGCCACGCUCAGUCGUGCGCCCCCCACCUCGGCGUCGCUCGCCGGCCACCUGCGCGACUCGUCGGAGAUCCGACAGCUAGCAGCCUCGCUCUCUCUCCUCCUCGCACUCUUCUUCUUUGCGCGACGCUGCAACCACGCCAUCGACGCCCGACGCCAGCAACGUCCCGUCGCCGCUCCACAGUCCUCGCCGCUGCUCGUCGUCGCUGCCAUUCGCCAAAAUCGUCCCGCCAAAAUUAUCGUUUCCUUCCCUGCUCUUAGUAGCAGUCUAGCAGAGGUACCGAUGGUGAUGACGGGAUGGCAUAGCAGUGAGGAUUUAUUUAAUAUCUAGACAUAUGCAGACUCUCAUGGUUUUAGUUUGAGUUAAUGUUAAACUCUGAUUAGUAAUUAAGUUUCUAUUAAUCAAGACUAAUGUUGGAUCCAUUUUAUAUUCCAUAUUUAUAAUAUGUUUAAAUUUAUGAGUU